This 2072-nucleotide long non-coding RNA is filed under the name Sus scrofa (pig). RNAcentral's name for it is "lncRNA (ENSSSCG00035054175.1)". Lineage: Eukaryota; Metazoa; Chordata; Mammalia; Artiodactyla; Suidae. The record is from RNAcentral.
AGGGCAAUGAAAUGGCAGAUGAUCUGGUAACAGUGACAAGAACAAAAUCCCACAUACAACUUAAAAAAAAAAUGAAGAGGCCCUGGAACUGGAUUCAACAGAUUGAGAGGUGACAAGUAACAUUCCAGAUGGCAGAGUCUCCUUCAGCCUGAGCCUCUCAUGACCAGAUGCAAGCAGAGCCCUAGGCUGGAUGCCCAGGCUGUCUCCCGUGGUGGUGUAUCGUGGCUAUCACUGUGCAUCAGCAGAGCACUGGGACUCUAGUUGAUUGGGUGAUAUUUCACUUGGAGGCCUCAUCCUACAUCCCCUGAACCAGAAGACCUCGGGAUGGGACCCAGGAACCUGUGCUCUGACAAGAUCUUCCAGCAACUGUGGAGUUUGGUAAGCCCUGGAUGAAAAGAGCGAUGCUGGGAAUGGCGAUUGGAAGACAGCGUCAGAUCUGCAAUGCAAUCUGUUAAUGUAAUCUGUCAGUGUUUCACUCCUCACAUUGCUGUGUGUUCCUUUAAGAAGUAGGUGUCCUCUGAGUAGGUCAAAGCCAUUAUUAGUUAGCUGAGAAUUCAUUUCCUCUGCCCUUAUCACGGCCUCUCCAAACUGGACUGUGUGUGCACAAGUUGCAGGGUGCACUGAGAGCUGUGCAAAUCUGUAUCAUUUGUGAGGGACACUGCCCUGCCUAGAGCUGAGGGAAAUCUAUGUGGAUAAGUAUGCAUAAAAUUGGGACGAGAAUGUAAAAUUUGCAUUUAUUUCAAAGAUAGCACAGCAGGUCUCUAGUACUGCUUCAGACUGUACCACCAGGUCCAUCAGGGAGGGUAUCCAUUCUCCUUUGCCAGUGGAAAUGUUUGAGGCGUCCUGGUGUAAGUACCUCGGGGGACCGGGUAGAACAUGGCUUGGAGAUUUAGUCUGAGCGCUUAACCUGUUCAUAAGUUAGAAAUAGCCCCACUUACCCUCUUUAUUCUGUUACUCAAAUAUUCACCUUUCAUCCAUAUGGUUUGUAUUCCUAAUUAUGUACUAUCUAAAUUGUUUGUUUCUUCCUUCAUAUUCAUUUUUUUUUUUCCUACCCUCUUCCCUGCUCUUUCAUCCUGUAUUUUCCAAACCCACUGGCCGUGUUUAUAAGAAAGCCACUGUUUGGCAACUUAUUUGGGGGGCCUUUUACAGACUCUGCAUUAGUGUUCUCAUCGGCCGAGCAACGGAUCUGAUUUAUUUUAACAUAAACAUAGUUGUACUUUCACCACCCACUGCUUACUUGUUCCUCUUCCCAACCUUCUGCCCAGCUUGGCAGAUUGUGGGACUUCCUGCAAGCUUAUCUACUGUCCAGUGAACUCCUUGCUCUGAAUUCUCCCCCUUCACAACCUCUUGCUCUCUGUUCGUGCAAAUCUCAGUGUACUGAAUGCAGGAGCUGGCUGGUGAUGUGCAUAUUUUGCUAUUUUGCAAACACCAGAAUGAAGGAGGAUGUGAAUUUGCAUAUUCACCCCCAUUCGUAUAUUUGUUUUGGAGCCCUUUAAAAAAUAUAACCCUGGAGGUAAAUUCCCCACACGUUUCCUUUAAGUUGGUUCUUUCUCCAUGCCUUUUAUUACAGCCUUUCUAUUUUCAAAAACUAAUGAGAUAUAAGGAGAUCUUAUAGCCAAAUGUAAAUGUAAAUUUGAAAACUUCCCAUUUUGAGUUUCCAGCAAUGCUUGAUCAUUUUUGCUGUGAGAGCAGUCAGAUUUACGAAAGGAAAUGGACCUGUCUUUUUGCUUUAUUUUGUUAAAUAAUUCAUAGCAAAAAUCCAUGAUUUUUCAAAGAUCUUUCUUUAUUUCAAAGAGCACUGAAAUAAAGAAUAGCAAAUAAGAAAACAUUAGCAAUUUGGUUCCCCCCCUUUUUUAAUUUUCAGAAAUAUUCUUGACCAACCUUGUGUCUAAGUCAAAAUUUACCAGCCCAAACAAAUUGAUCACAGCCUGCUCCCCUGUAGACUGAAAAAAAAAUUGAAGUAUGGAGGCUUUCACAUUAAUUUUUUUAUGCUUACUUUUGGAGGAAAUUCACUAGAUAGUGUCGACCUAUGAUUCUCCUCUGAAGAUAAUAAAGAAAAUGUGUUCAACUAA